AUCGUUUUAGAUUCUAACCCAAAGCAGCUACCUGGCACAGUGAAUACAACAGUGAACCUGGCGUCAGGAAAGGUUGAGUUCAAAUGUACUCCUAGAGUCCAGAGCUUGUGUCAACCAGACCGAUGGAAACUGCUAGAAUGAAGUCAAUCAAUCAAUCAAUCAAUAAACAUUUAUUAAGCUUC
This is a non-coding RNA of Phascolarctos cinereus (koala), 182 nucleotides long. The record is from RefSeq and is a predicted model, not a curated record. NCBI's taxonomy places the organism in Eukaryota, Metazoa, Chordata, Mammalia, Diprotodontia, Phascolarctidae.